AUCCAGCUGGUGAGUCCCAAAUAAGACGAAACGCGCAUCCUGGAU
Molecule: non-coding RNA, 45 nt
Organism: Schistosoma haematobium
Lineage: Eukaryota; Metazoa; Platyhelminthes; Trematoda; Strigeidida; Schistosomatidae
Source: Rfam